This 15200-nucleotide long non-coding RNA is filed under the name Gallus gallus (chicken). RNAcentral describes it as "lncRNA (ENSGALG00010028367.1)". Lineage: Eukaryota; Metazoa; Chordata; Aves; Galliformes; Phasianidae. The record is from RNAcentral.
GGAAAAGCACCAUCAAAGCGGCUCCUUCCUACGUCUGAGCGCCGAUCCGGUCACAGUUAAUCGGCGAACGUCACGACGGCUCUCUGAACAAAACGCCCUUCAGGUGAGUUUCCAGCUCCGACGCCCCACGUUCGCUUUUUAUGAAGCUUCUCGAGGAAACCCAAUCCAAGCUCUGCCCUCCUUCGGCUCCCGGCCGCAAACGGCCCCGCGGGCGGACAGACGGACGGCGUUAGGCCGCCUUCGCACCGGGGAAUCGCCAGAACCGGAGCGAUGACCGCCUGCAGUGACAUCGAUGGGGGGCGGAUUUGGUGCCCCGAGACGUGUGCGAGUAAGAGCUCAGCCCCGCGCUGAUGGAAACGCGCUCACAGCCCGGUACGGUUUCACCGGUUUACAAACGCCGUCCAUUAAAACACGAUUAUUACCAAACGGCUUCUUUCUAUGCGAGAUCCUCAAAUCCGUUGUUUACAUUGCACCUAUAUUAACAAACCACAAAAUAAGCCCGUAGCGUUUUUAAGAGAGGUUUUAGGCUGGGAACGUGGAAACUUGCCUGGACGAAACGACACGGAAGCUGAAUGAAGGCGAGGAGAUUAUCUGUGUCUGAAGGUUGGGCAUUAGCCGCAAUGAAAAGAUUGAUUUUUCCGAUGCUUUUUUUCCCCCCAGACGGUUAUUUCCAAGGCUGCUGGCAGUGUAAGCUCACUCUCUGAGCAGAUACUGAAGCCCGUGUGUUGUAUGUAAGGGUGCUAUUCAAGGAGGAGGCGCUCAGUGCCGCAGAGUGCCUGCUGGCUUCGGGUGCACGUGUUCUUACAGCAUCACUCGCACUCGAAAAAUACUUGUUAUUCAUGCUCAGAAGUUACUCGAGCAUGACUUGCAGUGGAAAAUUGUGCAAAAAUAAUGUUUCUUUGCGAUAACUGAUCCCAGUCUGGUGUUUCAUAGCUGAUAGCCUGGAAACUUGCCUGUGCAGAGUCCCUCCCCGUCAGAGAUGUUCCACGAGGCUGAAGGAAACAGAGCGGUGAGGAGAAGAGGCAGAUGUGCAGGGGUUGUUCACAUGCUGAAAGCUUUGAGUCACAGCAGCUCUGACGCUUUUCUGAAGAAAUAGUUCUGCAAUCAUUACAGUUGCCACCCAAACCCUACCCUGGGUGUUCUAUGGCUUACAGCAACCUCCAAACUCGCACUGCGUGUAGUGUGAAUGCUGUGUCAGGUAAGCGUGUGUAAGUCAUCCUACAGCAGCCGGUCUGGCAAAACACGUCUGAUUUGGCGGUCAAGGAGGUGAGUCCCAAAACCCAGCAAGGUCUGUAAAAGAGGAGCUGGCUGUUCCGUUUGGGCUAACGGGCAUUUUCCUUACCUACAGCCCAGCUGACUGCCAGCUCCCGGCUCAUCCCCCGAUUAGGCGCUGAUGGGCGUUUUCUGAGCUAUUUACUAAGAGCUGAACAUAAACCACAAGUGCUUUUGAAUGCUGACCUCUCAUUUAUGUUACUUUCCGAACUGAAUAGCAUCUUAUGCGCAUUAAAAUAGUUUUUAAUAGAUGCUUGAACGAUAAUCAUGUAUGCAUCUUGUUCUCUUCUCCUUUUUGUCAACGCGAAAGCCGGGCUGUUGGAUGCUCCCAUUUGUUGGCCAGGAGUUCUCCUCAGGGCUGCUGGGCCCCAGCAGAGUGCUGGGCUGUGCAUCGGACCCCAGAGAGGUUCAGGAGCUCCUGCUGUUGUUCAACCUCCUCUGGCUUUGGCCGUCCGAGGUGUGUUACUGCCACAGCUGAGGUGGAAGUGCCACUGCGAGGACUUUCGUUGUCCUUGUUUUGUGAUGUUCUUAACUCCGUGACGUGGUGUGAAAGUUCCCCAUUCAUGGGUGUGAAAAUGCAUUCAGACUUGAUGCUAUCAGUCCCAGAAGUUAGAAGUACUGCUCGUUUCUCAUUGGAUAAGCAUAUAGACCACACAUUUCAUACCUGAAUGUCCUCUGCUAAGUUCAGGGGUUACUUGAAAUUAACGCUCAUUAUUCACUAGUAUUUGCACUAGUAAAGUACAAGUGCUCAAAUAUUUGCAGAAAGCAAAAGUGAAGCAGCUGUAAACAUGGCUGAAUUUGCUUCUGAAUUUUAAUGCAUAUUUGCAGAAUUUUGGUUUAGCUGUAAUGUGUGCGUGUCUAUGGUACAGAAAGCUUGUAAAUUCUGGUGCUUUACACUUCCCAGUGUGUAAACUGCAGCUAAGCCCGCUGGAUUUAACUUUUAUAUCCUUAGUUUAAAUGGAAAAAUACAGGCGAGUUUGAAAAAAACAAAAACAAAACCCUUAAAAAAUACACAGAGCAUCAGAAACUUUACAUAACCACAUCGAUUAGUGGUCUGUAACCUUCGCUGGUGAGUGGGUACUGAUGGAAUAGUGUGUGGUUAACUCUUUCAUCCCCAGCAGGAGCAACGUGAAGAUUGAAUCCCAGGAUCCACAGUUCAGGAUGAGGUCUGUAAGUCACUAUUUCUCCCUUUGGUUCCAGAGAAGUGAUUCUCUGAAUGGAAGUUAAGGAAUUUGUGACGGUCUUCAGGAAGGUUUGCCUUAGCCAGAUGUUGUAUUUGCAGUGUGAAAACAGGCUGUGUGGGAGAGCCAUGACUUGGAGUGGGGAAGGAGGAAUGUAUCAGGCUUAACACACAGCAUAUGCUCUCCUUGCAGAAUGGAUUGGGUGACUCUGGGUCUGUAUUGACUGCUUAAUCGUAGUGUUUCUAGUCUGGGGGUGGGUACACUGUUAGGUCAUGGUAACAGUGAUGAAUUUGAAGAGGAAGAGUGGCCAUUUAUUCAUCCUACUUUUCUCCCUCUCUCAAAGGAAGAGGAAGCAAUCAGGAUAGAUAGAGAGUUGUGCUUGGAAGCAGUGGAAGAAAGCUGGUAGUAUUCUAGAGAGAUGUGAGGAGCAGAACUCAGGAAAGAGUGUUGGAUUUCAAAGGAGAACAGGUUGAUAAGAGCUGUCAAGCUUGGCCAGGGCAAGCUGUGUGGGUACUGCUGGAUGAUGCUCUCCAGAGACAGAGUGUGGCAUUGGUCAGCCACCUUUCAGCAUCCUCAGUGCAGGGAAUUUCUGUUUAGUUUUGCUGUUUUCUUAAUCCCAAUGGACCAGGAGAUAUCUGGAUGACAACAGUUUCACAGGUUUCUAUGAAGGUCUUACAUCUGUUUUCCCAACACAUAAAAAAAGAUUUGCUCUUAUAUUUCUGCUCGGGGUUUCUGAUGCUCCCCUCUGCUGUCACUGCUUUUACAGAGCAAAAGUAGCCCAAGGAAUUUGGAAGAUGAUGGACACAGUGUGUACUGCAUGCUCCCACUGAGCUUAUGGACAGCCAGAAAAGCUGUAGAUGAAGUGGAAGAGUGAUGGUCUGCUGCCAAGAGCUGCAGCAUUGGAGAAUGUGUCUGUGGCAUUCAUGUGGUCAGAAAGUCAUACCAACUGUCUCCUCCCCAGACUCACAGAUUCUUCUCAGAAAGGGUCAUGUUUUCUGUUUUCCAGGCAUUUAAACACAUAGAAGGCAUUUUCUUGUUUCCUUGCUUUCCACAAUUCUGCAAGCAGAGUUUAUAUAUACAUACAUACAUAUAUAUAUAACCAUUUUUGAACUUACUGCGCUUUCCUUCUACCCCUUGAUCUUUAUUGUUUCAGUAGAUCCCUUUUCAUUCUGUUGUAUGCUGUAUAUUUUUUAGGUUUAGAAGCUGUACUUAAUUCUUAUUUCAGAAGAUGGCUCUUCUCAGAAUGAAAAGCAGAUUGCUAUGAAGGCAAUGAUUUGAUCCUUGUGGUUUGCUGUGAGCCUCGUAGCCUCUAGUGUAAACCUAUUGGAUCUUGUUUAACAGAGAAGCAGAGAAAGUACCACCCAUGCAAAUGCUGCUCAGAAACAUCUACCAGGGAGAAAAAAGCUUCUGUAAGUAAAAGUAUUGUAUGACCUCUCAUUAUUAAAACAGACACAGUGUAUUUGAGGGUAUAUUUAUACUGUGUUGAUUCUUAGAAGUUCCACUCAUUGACCAACAGCCACUCUUCUGGUUGUUGCAGUGUCAGGUGGGCACUGCCAUCCUGUUGUGCUCUCUUUAUGUGUGUUGCAAUCUUUAUUUUUUACUAAGGGAUUUACAAAAGCAGCUGACAUCCUGACAGAACCAGACAGUUCUAAAAUAUUACGGUUAAUAGAAAGUAACCAUAUUGUUCAUUGGGUCUGGAAAAAUAGAAAUUAGGAAAAUAAGGUCUUUCUAAUGAAUGUUUUGGAUUGUGUACAGUCCAUCAAGGUAUCUCCUAUUAGAUGAGAUGACCUCCAGUGAAGAUCUUAUCCCUUCACGAAUUUGGAAUAGUUAUGGUUGGACCGGAUAAGAAAAGAAUACCUUUCUAUCAGAGAGCCCAUAAUUGGUGGUACCCAAAAGUGGGCCAAAGGCUUUGGCAUAUAUCUGUGUUUUCUGCCCUCUUGAAAAAAUGCCCUAUUUUCUCAGGCUUGCUUUUACACUUGGUAAAAAUUCUCUUCUUUGACCUUAGGUUUACACAUCUCACAUUUUCCAGGUGCUUUCUCUGAUGAUAUUUUUAUUGGUGUAUUUGUGGUAAGUGUGUUCUUGAAUGUCCCACAGAGUCGGCCAGAUAUACAUUCUGUUACUGCUCUCAGUGCAGAUGAAAGCUUCAAAGAAAGGGUAAUUUUCAGUGCUGAAGGUAUUAUACUUAGAGCUGCAACAGCUGGGAGAUGCAUCUGAGGGGAGCACUUGCUCAUCCCACAGCAAACCUAUAGGUUUAAUCCUGAAUCCAUAUACACAGUUUUGAUAAGGAAGCUUAGGUAUUGGGUAGAGGAUAGGAAAUAAUAGUUGUUCCAGAAUGGUGUGGACAUAGGUCCUGUCCUGUGUAUUCCAAACCAGAAGUGUUUUUCCUGCACUGCCCAUCUCUGUCUGCAUGACUGAGUCUUAUUUGUUCUACUGGGAUCCCUCUUGUUCCUGUGCAGCUGUAGCUGUAAGAGCUGACAUUUGCUGAUGAGCCACUUCUAAUUCAAAAAUUAGAAGAUUAACAAUGAGAUAAUUCAGUUAUCACAUUUAUGUAUUUGUUUAUACUCUUCUCUCAUUCACUGUAAUUGUAUCAGUAUCUGCUGAAGGUUUCAGCAUCCCUACCCUCACUACUUUUCUGUCAAGGCAAUAUUUAUCUGCAGAGAAAGGUGUCAGUGAGAAAGCAGGAUUUCCUAUAUAUCUGAGGACAGACCUGUUUUGUGUGCUGCAUUUGAUGGUGGUCAGUCACGUGCCCAGAGACGGGUACAAAAGAGGUUAGCAAACAGUCGCUUUGCAGGCAUUUGUUGCUCAGGGGUUUUCUGAGGCAAUUAGCCUGCAGUAGUCAUUUGUUGCAUUUAUUUGUUGUUCCCAAUCAAGUAGGUUCUGGUAUAUGCCACAGUGUCUGGCGACACGUUUUUUUCUCUGUGCAACAUGUGAAGAACAACUUCUUGUUUGCUUUUUUUAACUUGCCACUCACUAAUUGCAUUGGAUGUAUUUUGGAUCAUGUUCCGACAAAGCCAAUAUCCUCUUUUUCUCCAUGCAACUUUUUGUUCAGUGGGACCGUGUCAACUUUUCCUCCAGCAUCUCUCUGCCUUCCCCACAUCUUAGUCACGCCAGGGACUUUGUACUGAUUUUUGAUGCUAUUUUUGGUGUGUGAUGUGAUAGUCCUAAUUUCUAGCUAAAGAGCAUCUACCAAUGAUUAUGUACAGUGUUCCUUAAAGUAACAAAAAAUCACUAGCGUGGCAUGUUCUGGUUUGCGUGUCUCCAUAUAUGAUGGAGAGCUUUGUUCAGAGUUCUGGCUGUAAAUUCAUACCAGUACCCUAAAUCCCCGCUAUCAGUGUCUUUGGGGUGAAACCCAGUCCUUGUGUCAGAAUAAUCCCUCCUCGCGCAAUCAUGUUGCCCUCUGUUGGUUAGCUUUGAUUCAGAAUGUUCCCAGGCUCGCUAAUUACCAGAGGGCUUAUUUAAAUUCCUGUGGAAGAGGCCUCAGUGUUUUACUCUGCAAUGCUCUGGUUCCUGUGCUGGCUGAGGGGUGCAUCCGUGCUUUCAGAGGAAAGGGUGGAAGCCUCUUUGUAGGUUGUGGUUGCAACCGUGUUCAUUUAUAAAGCUGGGUUUGAUUUCUCUUAACGAACGCACGUAUUAAGGUCUGGAAUUUGUCGGUGUCAAGGUCAGUUAUUGAGAAGUUUGCAUUGCCUUUUUUUGAAGAAUUGAUCUGAAAGCAGCUAGAAUCAGAACUUCUUUUCCUGUGGGUUCAAUGUUUAUGUGCACGUAGCUUCCCAGUGGAUUCACAGGGAUGCCUGGUAAAGCCAGAUGGCACAAAAAAAGCCUACAGAAAGAAAAGAAGGCAAAAAGAAUGCUAGUUGCAUAGGGAGACAUGAAAAACCUCUCCCUCUAAAUGCUGGAAAAUGGUUUUAUUAUAAACACAGAUACUCUGAUGAAUUGAAAGGUUGGUGAGGAAGGAAGAUGAGAAUUUUUGGGGGCAGCAGAACAUUUUUCUUGUUGACUGAUUAAUCUGGAACUGCUCUGAAUGCAAAUGGAUUUCUGGGAUCCUCCCGCUUUCUCAAAUACAUUCUGACUGCAUCUGACUGGUAAUGUGUUCAGGAUGAUUUUCUCAUAAGAUACAACUGAAGACCAAAGGUGAAGGAGGAAGACCGUGGCAGAGCUAGGACUAGCUUUCUUCUUUAGAGGGGUGAAUUGGAACGCUGGUCAGCAUGCUGCAGUGACUUGCAGACACGUUCAUCAAAGUCCUUGUACCUAAAUAGGCUAUGGAUGUGAGUAAUGCUUAUUUCUUCUCUGUUAUAAAAUGCUUGAGAUCUGUGGUUGGGAAACCAAGCAUGUAAGUGCAGUCUACUGUUAUUGAUAGGAAUGAGUUUCAGAUGGCACAGCUGAAAAUGUGUCCCCUACUUUUCCUGGGAUGCUCUAUGGAUCAGACUCUAAGCAAAAACCAAGAAACCUGCUUCAGUUGGCACAGAUACUUGAUAUAAUAUGAUGAUUGGUUAGAGAUACUACCUGAUGGUAGUAGGUAAUACAGCUAAAUAUUACUAAAUAAUAGUAAUAAUGUUAAUAAAUCCACUUACAUAAAAGAAAAUAAAUAAGAAAACCCUGAAAUAAUGAUAACAAAAUCUUAAUCUUUUUAUGCUUCCAGAAUGAAGACGAUGUGGUCUCUUGGCACAAGAAUUUAUGAAACAACCCAUAAAGACCCACGGUACAGCAAUCUAAGGAGCAAACUCAAGAUGUUUGAUUGAGCAAUGCGUGUGCAUUUAUUCACACCUGGAAAGAACAGCUUUCUGUGUCAUUACAUGCAGUGUGAGAAUUUCAUGUAUUGAUCUCUGUAUAUACAUCACCUGAGGUUCCUUUAUUCUCUUGGUAAAACUUGCCAGGUGUGAUGCUGUUUGGAGGUCCUUUCUGUACCAGAUGAGGCACUGAGUGUUGAAGCAAGCAUCCCUCCUGGCCUUGUUUCGGGCCUUGUCUAGAGAUACAGUACUGCUGCCUAAAGCUGUUAAGCUUAACCAAAGCCAUGGAUGUGACUGUUAUUUGGCAGAUAAAAGGAGUGAAAGGAAGGAGAGAAGAUAGCAGUGUGGUGUCUUUUUACUUUCUUUACAGUCUGCUUAAAUUUCUCAUCUGCUGUAAACCUCAGACUGAAAUUCUGCAGCGUGGGGAUGCACUGAAGUAGUGCUGGAUAAUAACUUAAUAAAAUAGAAGUAACGAAAGGGGAAUAAAAUAGCUCCCAAACAGUUAAGAGUGGGAUUCUGGUUUGUGUUGGAUCCUUGUCCUGAAAGCUUGGAGUGCUCAGAUCCACCUGAAGGAUCAAAAGUGUCCUCAAGCCCUUAAAUAGAUGACUCGGAAAUAGCUGAAAUGUGUUUCAUUUUAUGGUAAGUUUAAUGUUUCCAAUCUCAGUGCAAUUUACAAUUACAAUAAAUAUCACCAAAAAAUUAAUGUGGCCACUUCAAAUACAAAGGAACGACAGAGUGUAAUCUGAGAAAAUUUUAUCAACAUGCAAUUUCCUUAACAAAAACACCAAUGUAUCAUUUCAGCAUGCUGAGAAAUAUUUAUCUUUUGGGACAGCAAAAUCAUUUGCAGAACGUUUUAACUGCUAAAUAAAUAUUUUACUGGCAACUUCUGAGGCAUCAUAAAUGCAGUCAAUAUAAACAAAGCAAUGUGGAAUCCAGCUCCGGUCUCAGCUGCAAUGACUGUUGGCCACUUCGUGGUAACACAGGGCUCUGGGAUGCAUUUGGCACAGUCUCAGCAUUUCAAAUAUCUGAUUUGUUGGGUUUUUUGUUUUUUUCCCCUGCUAUAUAAGCAAGUUUGCUUAGUUUAUCUGAAGGCUCUGGCAAUGGAAGGCAUGGCGAGCUUUCAGUAUUAGGGAUGCAACUGUUUAGCAUUUAACAGAAACUCGUCUUUUCACAGUUAAAUCACAUUUUUUUUUAAUUGAAUCCUGUGCUUAUGAAAAAUACUGGAUCUGCAGCCUCAGACUGUCUGCUUGGCUGCAGAACAAGAACAUCAUGGCCAUGCUUGCUUGAACUUCCUCGUGGGCCCCUGCCAACGUGCUUCACCUCUGACCUGUAGCUGAGUUUUUAAAUGUCUUUUUUAUCUGUAGUCUCUUCCCAGACCGCCCCACUGAAAUGGCACUUCUAAGGAUGAUUUCAGCAAGUUUCAUCUGUGCACUGGAAGCAGAAACUUGUUGCAUGGAGGCAGCUGAAGAAUUACUUAUUCAUUACCAUGAGCGUCACUGCAGUCUUUACUGUCAAGGACUGCCGGUCACAUUUCCUCACAUCAACUCUGGGACAGAGCUAUGAUUUGUUGUAUUGCUAUUGGCCAUUUUAAGUGAUAGCUACCUGACUAAGCUAGGUAAUAAUUGCCUAUUUGUCACUAUAGGUGCUCACUUUGUGUUAUUUGUGUCUAAUAUACAAUGGCAUUAUGCUCCUAUUGAAUAUUUAUUGAAAAGCACAUCAAAUAUUUGAAGGCCUAUAAAUGUGUUCAUCUUCUGAAUUUAUCAAAGGAUCUCUGUUGACAGUCAUUGGUUUCAGUGCUGUAGUGGUUUCUUGCCUGCUCUAAUGUGGUGUUCUACCUGUUUGUCAGACACUGCUGUUAAGCAAGUAACUGGUGAUAGCUGGAUAUCCUUCCAAGCUUAGGAAGAAGUUAUUGGCUGAAGCUGUUCUCCUUAUUAAUUUGACUCCUCAGAUUUAUGUGUCUGCAAAUGAUUUUCUUCUUAUCUCUGGCAGCUCCAGAAGAUAAUCCAGAAAUUAACUUUUCUUUGUAAAGAACUUCAUAGGAUGUUUUAGGAAAACGUGAAUAAGUAAAUGCUUAGUAGGUAGUUUGAGAUACCCUCAGCUCCUCUGGAUGCAAAGCAUUUACCACUGUGAUCUGACUUCUGUCAGUUCUCCAGGAGUGUUACUAUCUCUGCACAUUCAUCUCCUACUUCUAAAGAGAUCUUUUAGCACACAAAGCAGGAAAUGUAAGAAAACAGACAGGAUUUCCAAAGACAAGUUAGUCAUUUCACUGCAGAGUCUGGCCUUUGUUCCACGUCCAUAACAAGGCAGUGGUCUUUAAAACACGGUUGAAAAUUAGAGGAGAUGGCAUAAACGUUUGGUAAUUGCAGAAAGCCAGGGUAGUUCCUGCGUGGGCUGUUAGUGAGUGGCUGAAAACUGCUGCAGAAUGCAGUCUGUUGCUUGCUUAAUGCACCAUGAGCGUUCUCUGCAUAAGUAUCUUAAUUCACACAUCUAAAGGAACUCAGCCUGGGUUUAGCUGGGUACUUGUUAGCAACUUCUUCAGAAAUAAAGGGGUGGAAACUGUACCAUCAUCUGUGGCUGGAAGGUGAAGAUUUACUUAAAGCACUUUGGCUGAGGGGCAUCGAGAAAUGAGCACUGCUGCUGCCUGCAGGAGAGGACUCCAGCACUGCAGGGACACAGAACCUCAGGGAAGUCAUGCUGAGGAAAUGAUUCAUUUAACCUGCAGCUAUAUCGUUUGUAGAAGGUAAAGGCAAUAGGUGUGAAGAAAUGUUUGCUCAGAUCUGUGCUUUAUAUAGGUUCCAUCCUGGAUAACGUAUAUGAUAAUAUACUGAUAUGAGUAUAUCUCCUCUACAGCAUGCCAUGUUCUGACGUACUUGGGUGGCAUUUAGUGUACAGAUUACUCCUCCAUUCACAGACACGGACUUUCCCUAGGUUAUCCACGUGUUCUGUAUUACGUUUCAGGGCUCACAGUUCAAUCUUUUCAUAAAUAAAACUGUAGCCCUUUCUGGUAGCGAGAGAGGAAGCGAGGAAGAUUCCCUGCCCUUGAGGACCGAGCGUGGCUCUCAGUCCCCAGAAGGCUGGGAUUUUGAGCUGGCUAUUACCAAGUGUAAAAUGAAACACCUGUGUGCAGCAGCAUGCCAAGGCUGAGCCACCUGCAGCACACCUGCUAACUGCCUCACUGCAGUCGGGUCUGGGCAACGUGACAUCAUCUGAUUUCAUAUCUGUAAUUGAACAAAAGGUACGGGUUAUAGCUGAGCUCUUAUCCAAAAAAGAAGAGUUAACGCUGUAAAUACGCGUCUCUGUAAACAGAGAAACUUCUUUCCUGUUCUCAUUGAAUGGCAUGCUGUGAAACCAGAGUUGGCUGGAAACUUCUAGAAGCAGCUUGCUGGGGGCUGGGUUCGGCUGUGCCUCUGAAUGCCUCCGAGCAGGAAGCAGCUGGGUAACACUCCAGGUGAUUGCGCCCAUUGACUCCAUUUUCUCUCUCUAUUUGGAGUGUAGCAGUGGGUGAUACAUUUGCCUGCUGUCUGAGCUUAGUUCUCAAAGCUGGGAGCGGAGUUCACUUUGCCUCUGGAGCAGGACGUAACCCGGUCUCACACGAGGCACUGAAUGUCUACCACAGACUCGUGAGGUUUAGGUUUUUUAGCAGUGUAUCUGGAGGAUAGAAAUCUUCCAGUUUUUUAGCAGCUUUGAGGAGUAAGCAGUUCCCCCCCAGCGUGAUUAAAAACAUCAGAAGAAUGCUGCAUCAUAAAGCGAAGGAUGGAGGUACGUUUAUUUCACUUAUAAUGCAUCUUUCAGACGUGACUGGGAAAUACAUUCUCGUCUUCAGAAUUGGGUAUAAAAGCAGAGGCAGAAGUUUACUCAGUCCAAAAAUCCCUUUAAAUAGCCUACGUUGCUAAGGUUUUUUGGUAGUAACUGCAAUUUAAUCCUUGCUUAAAAGGGCUUUUUUUUUUCUUUGAUUAAUUGAACACACAGGAAGAAGCCGACAAUGCUGUUCCUCCCAAAAAGAAACAGCUAUUUUUAGGGGUUUGCUUAAAUUUUAGGUUGCUUUGUUCCUGUUAAAUCUCAGCCUUGACUUUGGCAAAAAAUCCUGUGUUAAAAGCACGCUCUGAAGUCCGGGGUCUCCAGCAGGGCUCGGAAUGAUGCACGUGCUUCAGGGCUUGGCUGAAUCCAUUUUAAGGAUGUGUUUUACAGACUUGAGGCUAGCAGUGCUUGGUAGACGAUGACCAAGAUUCUUGCCUUUACAGGGCGUAGGGUGGGGUUUAGAGCCAGCUCUGCCUUAAUAAUAAAGGGUUGGGUAAUAUUAGGCUUAACUGGUAAUGCUAGGUAUUACCCAAUUAAUAUUGGAUUUAAUGAAAACUACUGAAUAGGGCAUUCUAAUAAUUGUACCUAACUGAAUGCUCUUCUUGUUGUUUCAGAUAAUUUAGGGGUUAAUGCUUAUUGUGAGCACAUUAUUGUAAGGGUUUUUUAAAGAAAUGUUUUUUUUUUCUUGUCUUAACAUCUUGAGUUUCAACUGUUCUUUUCCUUUCAUGCUAUCAUUAUCCAGCAGGACUAGAAAUAGGUGCAGACAAUGAGAUGUACAUGUGCACACAGGUUAGCUGCUAUAUUGUUAUGUAGCCUUCUGACUGCGGCUUCUGAGAAUCAAGCUGACGGAGCUCCACAUAUUUUCCCCUUGAAACAGACUGUUUGUAAAGCUGCAGAGAAUGGUGAAUAAUUUGCACCAAUUAAAAAUGACAGUUCUGCCUGUUCCCUUAAUCCAGGGAGCACUGUUGUGCUGAUCUUCUGAUACUUCCAGGCUUUGGGUUGUUUUUGUUUUUUUUUUUUUGCCCUUUUCCUUUCUUUUAUUAUGCAUAGGUUGAUACCUGUUAACUGCGUCUCCCUGCAAAAUAAUAAUAAUAAAUACAUAUAUAUAUACACAUUCCUGUUGGUUUUUGCGGAGUAGAGUCCUUAGAUUUUCUUUCUUUCUUUUUUUAGUUUUGCUGUUGUUGUACUCUCCAGUAUUGGCUGGUCAACCACAACACCAAUAAGUGGUGCAGAACUCUGCUUCUGUGGGUAUGAUGCCAAAAGCAGCCAACUUGGUGCCUUACAUAGGGAUUAGUUAAGCUUGUUAGAGAUGUUUGUGCAAAUGGGACUUUUGGGUCUUGUAGAGACUUACCAAAAUGGUGGCCUAAUUAUGAACUGUUUCCAUUUUCAAGAUCACGUUUUCUGAAAUGAAGUGAAGGAAUAGCGGAGCUGAAGAUGAAAGAUAUGGAGAUGUGCAAACUGAUGUGUUGGUUAUUUAUAGGGAGAUCUUUAGUGUUUGCGAACUGGAACAAAAAAGGCGUAGCAUUUGCAUGUACCCUUUGUUGCAAGCACAUUGUUUAUGCAGAAGAAAAUGGUCUGUGUUUGUCUUUGUUAAGGUUGAUGUUGCUAUUAAGAUUUCAAGAGUGACCACUGAAAAAAAAGAGAAUUUAGAAAGUAAGAGGAACAUAUGGGACACCUGUCUUUGGAAGUAUUGGCUCAUAGGCAGGCCUGCUCUUUGGCCAUGGCAACAAGCAACUUGACAGAAGUUUGAUUUCUUUCCAAAAUCCCUCUUUGCUGCAAUGAAAUAUUGCUGUUUUCUUAUUUUUCAACCUCUGUUUUACGGAAACAAGACCUACACGAGCGCAUUGUCUAUCAGCCUUUCUAAUUCAUGCCAGUUCCAGCACCUUUUGAGAAGCCAUUAACCACUGUGGCUGUGUGAGCAUGUAGUGAACUUGCUGGUAAGCUCUGUUCCCAUUGAAACCGGGGCAAAGUAGAAUUGCAGAAGAAUACAGAACAGAAAGCCACAGGAAACCAAACUUCAUUAGGUUAUUGACCAACUGGAGGGUCUGCUUUUUUUUACUUUUCUUUUGUGUGUGAGGAUGGUAGAAUUAAGAAGGAAGAGAAUUUGUUUUCCCAUCUGUUUCCUCUAGCUCCAAAUUUCUCUCUUUGUUUCUAGUCAGAAAAUACCAAAUUCAUUAAAAUAACUCUGUGUAUGUGGGACUGAAUUUCUGAACUGUGUGACUUGGUACAUGUUGCCCAAUUGUCUUUUCUAUUAGUUAUGAAACCAAACACACCAAAAAACAACAGCAAACAAAAAAGAAAAACACACACACAAAAAAAACCUGAAACCCCCCAAAGUCCCAAACCAAUCAUCAUAAUGCUCAAGGUAAAAGAUAACCGACAGGUAGCAUAGAUAACAGGUAGUAUUGUGACCGUUCUUGGAGAUGAGAACUUUCUACUUCAUUUUGAUAUUACAGAUUGUAACAUGAAGAAGUAUGAUUAAUCAAAUUGGGAAAACUUUCAAAAGUUGCACAGGAUGAAAGGAAGCAGCAGCUUGAUUUCUAUUCUAAAAUACAUCCAUUAUAUUUCCAUGCUCUGUUUAGCUGUUGACUUUCAGGCUUCAGAUAAAACCUGCAGUUUUACCUAACAGUUUUACCCAGCAGCUGAUUGUUAAGUGGCAGAGAUCGAACAUAUAGUUCCCAUUGCUUGCAGAAGCCAGUAGGAUUGGUAAAUGACACGUUUUGCUGCACCAAUUCAACAUUUGUAUGUAAAAAAUAAUGUCACCUGCACUGGCACUACGUUACUGGAAGUGCUAAGGCAGGAGGGGAUCAACGACUGAGUUGGUUUGUGCAAGUAUGAGUUUAAAUCACCUUGUGUGUCAGGUUGGUUAACACGUCGUGUUUUCUGGCUGAUAUAUUCCAAGCCUUACACUUCAAACAUUGUAUUUAUCAACCCUUUAUUAAAUAUACAAAACAAGACCGCUCUCGCCAAAGUCUGUCACAACCCAUUUUGUUGUCGCUGUGCAUUUUGGUAUAUGUGGAGGAAUGAGAGCCCAAGCCGCAAAGUCAGCUUGUUUUAGCCUCAAUGGCUUUUUAAAAACCCUGCAGCUUAAAAUAAUACAUUAUUAAGGCAUUCAGACUUGUCAAAAUUAAUAAUUAAUAUCCCAUUUAUGUUCCCCACGCAUACACAGAGUCUUUCAUUCAGUUCAGUUGCUGCACCAAGGCAGUGCUAUCUGUACUGCAGCCAAGUGGCUGCACAUUGCAGCCUUUUCACAUGGCACAAGUGCAUCUGGGAGCUUGGGUUGUCAGCUCAGGGCUCCUGUCUUCUGAAUCCCUAACGUACAGAUGUGUUUCCUUACAGAAGGUUAUAUAACAUCAGUCUUCAGUUGCUGCUUUGUAAGUUAUCUCAGUUUGUAUGUGAUCCGAUAGCCUAAUAUUAAUAUUAUUAAUGACAGUUUUAAGAGUUUUAUAAACAGUGUUUGAUCCUGGGGGAACUUGCUUCUUGUGAUAAGGGGGUCAUUUAACAGGUGGUUAUGGAUGUUAUUCAGACUUAUUGUAAGACUAUAGGACUAUUCUAAUAACAUACUUACGAAGCAUCAAAUUGUGUCUUCUGUUAGAAGACCACAGAGACCACGUCUUGCAGAACUAUUUCAGUUUCUGAAGUCAGUGCUCAGUGUGUACAGAGCCCAGAAAUUGCACUGGGAAUGACAGAAACCUCAGCAAGAAUAAGGUAAACAGUUCAGACUAAGGAUUGCCAAAGACAGCAGAAGAAUGGGCCUGGGCUCUGCGUCUGAGUUACCAUGUAGGCAGCACUUAAAAACCAACCAACCAACAAAAUCCACCAAAAAAACCAGCAAGAAAUAAAACCCAAACAAACAAACAAAAACCUGUACAAAAUCCCAACCAAUCAACUGGAAAACCCUCAAAAAUAAUAAUAAUAAAAAAAGAGGAGUUAAGUUUUUGUAUCAGCAUAGUAAUUAAGCAGAACGGGUAGGAUUAACAGUUGAUGGGAUAUUCUCAAUACCUUUAUUUUUAUUUUCAAGAAUAUGCAUUACUAAUUUAUCCAUCAUUUAAAACUGUAGAUGCAUUUGAGUAGUUUUCAAAUAAAUAGAACCUAUUAUUUGGCUUUUUGCAAUGUUCUUCUCCCUUGAGAUGCCAUGAACAUUUCCAUGUGUUUGACUUUUUUUUGGGUUUGUUUUUCCUGGGAGUUAAAAUAUAUACAUAUAUAUGGGGAACAAUGCAAAGAG